AGACUAGGCAGGUGAGCCGAAGGGCGGGGAAGCUAAUUAACGCUCGCCGGCACCACGGGCCCAGAGAAGAGCUGAUGGCGGCCGAGGACUCUCAUGGGGGCCUCUGCCUGGGGCUCGGAAGAGGCAGAAGUUAGGGAUCAGGAGGUGCGCCACCCCCCCUUGUGGUCUGCGAGCGCCAAGGAGGUGGCGACAAAGUGGUGGGGCUGUGCAGGAGAGACAGAAUCAAUACAAUUAUGGACUUCGGGAACAACCUGACCAGUGAGGAAUCGGGGCCGGGGCCGCCGUGCGUGGCAGGAAUUGAAGUGGAUUCCGGCAGCAAUGCUAUCAGCGAGCAGACGGCGUCUACACCGGGAAGGGAGCCCUCACCAGAAGCCACGUCCUGCAGCAGAAGCAGGACCGUCCCAGAGUGAGCGUGGCGCCUGCCAGGGCCUACGAGGGGCCUCUGCACCCCCUGACGUCCACAGUGCGGGCAGCGGGCAGCGGGCGGUGGACAUGAUUUCAGCCUCCGGUCUGAGUCCAUCAGGGUCCACGCGGGAGGCAGGAGGAUUUGAGCCCAGGGGCUGUCGUCUGGACAGGAAGUGGUCUUGUCGAGAACUCAGAGCAAGUCUGCGGUUUUGAGGCAUGGCCGGGUUGGAGGAGCAAAGGGGGCAGGUGGUACAUUCUGACCUUGGAGCCUCCCAGGGGUCAGCGCUGGGCUGCAGCUGGGGUCUUUGGGGGCUGGGGACAGCCAUCACUGCUUCCUACAAGGAUUUGAAAAAAACAGAUCCCACUGUUGUCUGAGGGAGGGGCCUCGUCCCUCCAGCGCCCCCUACUGGCAGUGCCCCCCUGGAUACCAAGUGGAGAUGGGCCUGGAGGGAGCCCCGUGGACUGCACCCUGGAAACAGUGUGAGCUGCCCUGGGGAGUGGGCGGGGGGUGAUCAGGCCGGAAUGCGGGCGGGGGCCUGGGAGCAAUGCUGGCAGCACCGGCCACACACCCAGUAUGAGCCGGAGAGUAGGCUUUGCGGCUGCCACCAUGACAUUGUGUCAGCCCCUCUAAGGGCAGCUUAAGGAGGACAAGGCCUUGCCUCUGCCUGCUCCAGGGUGGGGCGGCCAUGGAGCUGUGUUUGGGAGGCGUGAUGGGAUUCCUGAAAGGUGGGAAACAGGACACUCGAGAGAGGAGGCUGGGACAGCCAGGGAGCGCCGUGGCGAGGUUACGCGUUCCGUGACGCGGGCUUGCGGUGGACAGGCGUCCAGUCCCUCUGCCUCUCGUGGGCAUGGAUUAGGCUGCAGGCGCUCUCUUAGCAGACCCCUCCCAAGGAGAACUGAAGAGCCCCCCUCUUGGUCCCUCCUGGGCUGUAACAACACCUGGCAGCCAUCUUUUCCCAUGACAAAGGCAGCUGCAGAGACAGAGUGCUUUGUCCACUUGGAAAGUAUCUCAGCAACUGACUCUCAACGGCUGCCGUCCACUGCUCCCCUCUCGCAAGAGGGCCCGGC
Molecule: long non-coding RNA, 1473 nt
Filed under: Oryctolagus cuniculus (rabbit)
Lineage: Eukaryota; Metazoa; Chordata; Mammalia; Lagomorpha; Leporidae
Description: lncRNA (ENSOCUG00000034513.1)
Source: RNAcentral